UACCUAUAACACCCCCUACACCUACAAUCCCUUGUUCAGGGACUCUCUUCUCUAUCAGAAUAUAAGCUCCAUGGAGGCAGGGAUCAUUUGUAGCUUAUUUUCUACUCUAUCCAUAGAGCUUAAAUUAGUGCCUGGUACAGAGUAAAAGCUUAAAUGGGAGAAAGAACUGUUCAAUGGAUGAAUAAAAGAAGGAUCAAAUGAAUGGAUGAAUCCAUGCAUGCCUAUGUGAAUGAAUGAAUAAAACAACCAGAGGUGGCCAACCAGAGACUUGGCUUUUUCAUAGCCUCAUUAAGUGAUGCGACUGUAUCCUGUCCAUGUUCAGAUUGAGGUUCUAAGAUCCAUUUCCUCCAAGAAGACAUCAUUCACAAGGGAUGGAGUCUAUGGGGAAACACUGCCACUUCCCCAAGAGAGCCAUGAAUAUUUGUGAGAUGCCAACUGCUACUUGGAGCCUCCCCACUGUACUCUCCGUGUCAUUCUUUUCCUGUCCUCCAUCAGCAGAAGCACCGCUGGACAGUCAAGCUCUGUGCUCAUACUUUGUAGGCACCGUCUGCUGUCCUGCACAAUGGCCACAUGGAGGACCUGUGGACAUGGGACUUUGCAGCCCCACUUUACUGAGGCGGUUCAUAUCAAGAAUGUAGAUCUGCUUCAAGAAAAUGCCCAAGAGUUAUAGCUGGGUUAUCAGAAAUUUAUCUUUUUGAGUCUUUUUGGCUACUUAUUUAGUUCUUUGUUGGAAAAUUAACAAAGGGCCUUGCAUCAGAAAGCCUAGACAUGGAUUCCGUACCUCCCUCACCACUACUGGCUAUGAUGAGUCUUUGGGAAAAGCACUUAACUGCUUCUAGACCUCACAUUCAUCCUAAAAUGGGUGGGCACACUCACAACAUAUCAGUCCAACACACACCAGAAACAAAGUAGUUUUGUGUUCCUCGUUCCUUCACAUCUCAGGUCCUCAUUUCCUCAGUACGAGGGUCUUCUUUAAACUCUCAAAUCCUAAGAUUCUGCACUGUCAGUUUCUUCUGUAGUCAUUCAAUGACUCCACAAACAUGUUUAGGAUGCUAUUUUGUGUUAAAAGUUUCUGCUCCUACUUACUGCCCCCUACACACAUGCCUUGACCCAAUUGGCUCAAAACAUAAGAACAUUUAGCUUCUGGCUCUCAUUUAAAAUGCAGAACAAGUGUACUGGUAUCAGACGGCCUCGGUCAAAAUCUCUGCUCCAUUCUUUACUGGCUAUGUGAUCUUAGUUUGAAAAGGACUUCAUCUCUCUAUGCCUUUUCUGUGAAAUGGAGGUAAGAGGAGGACUUACCCCAUAGAACAUCAUGACAACAAAAUGCAUUAAUACCAUGCCUAGCUCACACCAGCCACUCAGUGUUAGCUAUUACUAUUAUCUGUAAUUGACUCUGCAAGAACUACAGAUUACUCAAUAAGAAAGUUAGCCAGGAGGUAAAACUCACAGAAGAAUGCAGAGGACAAAUCUUAAAUAAGAUGCUGAGAAUCACAGUGUUUCUUAUACGGAAGGGUCUGUUCAAUCAACUUCACAAGGACUCCUAUCAGGAUUUCAGAGGAAUUAAGGAAGCCACCACUUCCAUGACUUCCCUCCCCUGCACACACAGAAUACCUAAGAAGCAAUUACAUAGCAGAACGAAAUAAUAAACACAAUCAUAU
Long non-coding RNA from Canis lupus familiaris (dog), 1658 nucleotides. RefSeq lists it as uncharacterized. The transcript is spliced from 4 exons. Lineage: Eukaryota; Metazoa; Chordata; Mammalia; Carnivora; Canidae. The record is from RefSeq and is a predicted model, not a curated record.